GACGAGGGAUCCUAGCGUUGUUCGGAAUCACUGGGCGUAAAGCGUUUGUAGGCGGCUCUAUAAGUCGGGUGUGAAAUCCCACGGCUCAACCGUGGAAGUGCAUUCGAAACUGCAGAGCUUGAAUAUGGUAGAGGAGAGUAGAAUUCCUGGUGUAGUGGUGAAAUACGUAGAUAUCAGGAGGAAUACCGGUGGCGAAGGCGACUCUCUGGACCAAUAUUGACGCUGAGAAACGAAAGUGCGGGGAUCAAACAGG
Molecule: ribosomal RNA, 253 nt
Filed under: uncultured bacterium
Lineage: Bacteria
Description: partial 16S ribosomal RNA
Rfam family: Bacterial small subunit ribosomal RNA
Source: RNAcentral